This 28-nucleotide small RNA is filed under the name Bombyx mori (domestic silkworm). RNAcentral describes it as "ovarian small RNA-18846". Lineage: Eukaryota; Metazoa; Arthropoda; Insecta; Lepidoptera; Bombycidae. The record is from RNAcentral.
UAACGGCUUCCUGAAGAUGCACCCUGUC